AGCAGCCGCGGUAAUUCCAGCUCCAAUAGCGUAUAUUAAAGUUGUUGCAGUUAAAAAGCUCGUAGUUGAAUUUCGGGAUCAGCAGGUCGGUCGUGCCACUGGUAUGCACUGGCCUUGCUGAUUCCUCCCUCUUGAUGAGCCGUAAUGCCAUUAAUUUGGUGUUGCGGGGAAUCAGGACUGUUACUUUGAAAAAAUUUAGAGUGUUUAAAGCAGGCAUGCGCUUGAAUACAUUAGCAUGGAAUAAUGAAAUAGGACGUUCGAUCCUAUUUUGUUGGUUUCUAGGAUUGACGUAACGAUUAAUAGGGAUAGUUGGGGGCAUUAGUAUUCAAUUGUCAGAGGUGAAAUUCUUGGAUUUAUUGAAGACUAACUACUGCGAAAGCAUUUGCCAAGGAUGUUUUCAUUAAUCAAGAACGAAAGUUAGGGGAUCGAAGACGAUCAGAUACCGUCGUAGUCUUAACCAUAAACUAUGCCGACUAGGGAUCGGAUGAUGUUAAUUUUUUCAAUGACUCAUUCGGCGCCU
This 520-nucleotide ribosomal RNA is filed under the name uncultured Glomus. RNAcentral's name for it is "SSU rRNA". It matches the Rfam family "Eukaryotic small subunit ribosomal RNA", at positions 569 to 1088 of the family's 1831-position model. The record is from RNAcentral. Lineage: Eukaryota; Fungi; Glomeromycota; Glomeromycetes; Glomerales; Glomeraceae.